UCGAGAAUCUUCGGCAAUGGACGCAAGUCCGACCGAGCAACGCCGCGUGCGGGAUGAAGGCCUUCGGGUUGUAAACCGCUGUCAGUGGGGAGGAAAUCCCAAGGAGCUAUCUUCUUGGGUUGACCUAUCUUCAGAGGAAGUGCGGGCUAAGUUCGUGCCAGCAGCCGCGGUAAUACGAACCGCACGAACGUUAUUCGGAAUCACUGGGCUUAAAGGGUGCGUAGGCGGCCAUGCAAGUUGGGUGUGAAAUCCCUCGGCUCAACCGAGGAAUUGCGCUCAAAACUGCACGGCUUGAGGGAGAUAGAGGUGAGCGGAACUUGCGGUGGAGCGGUGAAAUGCGUUGAUAUCGCAAGGAACACCAGUUGCGAAAGCGGCUCACUGGGUCUCUUCUGACGCUGAGGCACGAAAGCUAGGGGAGCGAAGAG
RNAcentral lists this ribosomal RNA (425 nucleotides) under uncultured bacterium. RNAcentral's name for it is "bacterial SSU rRNA". It matches the Rfam family "Bacterial small subunit ribosomal RNA", at positions 355 to 775 of the family's 1533-position model. The record is from RNAcentral.